RNAcentral lists this ribosomal RNA (690 nucleotides) under uncultured Bacteroidales bacterium. RNAcentral's name for it is "bacterial SSU rRNA". It matches the Rfam family "Bacterial small subunit ribosomal RNA", at positions 32 to 715 of the family's 1533-position model. The record is from RNAcentral. Lineage: Bacteria; Pseudomonadati; Bacteroidota; Bacteroidia; Bacteroidales.
AACGCUAGCUACAGGCUUAACACAUGCAAGUCGAGGGGCAGCACAAGGCAGCAAUGCUGAGGUGGCGACCGGCGCACGGGUGCGUAACGCGUAUCCAACCUUCCCGUUACUCAUGGAUAGCCUUCCGAAAGGGAGAUUAAUACAUGAUGGUGUUGAAAUUCCGCAUGUUAUUUCAACUAAAGAUUUAUCGGUAACGGAUGGGGAUGCGUGACAUUAGAUAGUAGGCGGGGUAACGGCCCACCUAGUCUACGAUGUCUAGGGGUUCUGAGAGGAAGGUCCCCCACACUGGAACUGAGACACGGUCCAGACUCCUACGGGAGGCAGCAGUGAGGAAUAUUGGUCAAUGGCCGGAAGGCUGAACCAGCCAAGUAGCGUGAAGGAUGAAGGUUCUAUGGAUUGUAAACUUCUUUUAUGAGGGAAUAAAACCUCCCACGUGUGGGAGCUUGUAUGUACCUUAUGAAUAAGCAUCGGCUAACUCCGUGCCAGCAGCCGCGGUAAUACGGAGGAUGCGAGCGUUAUCCGGAUUUAUUGGGUUUAAAGGGAGCGUAGACGGGAGAUUAAGUCAGUUGUGAAAGGCUGCGGCUCAACCGCAGCACUGCAGUUGAUACUGGUUUCCUUGAGUGCGGUUGAGGUGUAUGGAAUUCGUGGUGUAGCGGUGAAAUGCUUAGAUAUCACGAAGAACUCCGAUUG